CACAGUUGGACAAUAAGUUGUUGCCUUGGCGAUAAGAUUUUGAAGUCAUGUUUUUGUACCUUGAGUUAAUGCUAGAGUUGAUAAGGAAGUCAGGUAAAGUUAACCUGCCUUCUCUGAAGUAAACAAGUAGUAGCUUAUGUGCCAUCCGUCCACAAGCUUAAUAAUUAUGGAAAUGAAAGUAAUAGUGUUCUAUCGAAUUUAGUUGGUCAUUGAGAGGUUAAAUUGUAAGUGUACUUCAGUCCAUGAGGUACUGUAUAUAUUUUUAGUAGUCAGUGACAGUUCUGUACACGAACCUAAUGUUCACUCUGAAAUGUCCAAGAAGAUCUGCGUCAACUUCUUUCCCUGCCAAGAACAUAUCUGAGGCACAGAUGUGCAAGUUUACAAGUAGCUCAAGAGUCAAGAUUAUGCACACCCAGCUUGAAGUCCUACUUUUCCCAUCAGGUCAUGGCAUUAGCUGUUACAGAAGCAGCAGCAACAACAACGUUAACCUCAUUGCCAAAGCCAAAUAACACCGGCAAGAUCCCAGUUACUGUCAUCAGCUACAAGGACUGGUCACCCCAAGAUGAUGGCAUUGAGGUUAUCUUGUCUCCAACUGAAAUACCUUCAACGAAGGAAGAUACGGAUGCACCCAGCAAUGCUGUGCUGAGUCUUGUCUAUGGUUCUACUACAAGAAGAAGAUUCCCACUGUUUGCUGAAAUUUGCCCUGAGUAGGAAAAUUUGUUGUCAACUAUACUUGUAGAGGCUUUGUUGAUGUUAUGUUAUAUAUGGUGUAUAGUAUCUGAAUGGUAUUGCAUUGUGAUGGUACUUGAAAAUUAAAAGGACAAUAGAUUAUUGUGUAUAAAAUCUCUUGUAGCGGUUUUUAUUCGA
This is a long non-coding RNA of Rosa rugosa (rugosa rose), 867 nucleotides long. RefSeq lists it as uncharacterized. The transcript is spliced from 2 exons. The record is from RefSeq and is a predicted model, not a curated record. Lineage: Eukaryota; Viridiplantae; Streptophyta; Magnoliopsida; Rosales; Rosaceae.